UUUAGGAAUAUUGGGCAAUGGAGGGAACUCUGACCCAGCAACGCCGCGUGAAGGAAGAAGGUUUUCGGAUUGUAAACUUCUGAUCUGUGGGAAGAAGAAAGUGACGGUACCACAGGAGCAAGCCACGGCUAACUACGUGCCAGCAGCCGCGGUAAUACGUAGGUGGCGAGCGUUGUCCGGAAUAACUGGGCGUAAAGGGAGUGUAGGUGGCAAUUUAAGUGAAAUGUGAAAGACCAAAGGCUCAACUUUGGAACUGCAAUUCAUACUGGAUAGCUAGAGUGCAGGAGGGGUAUGUGGAACUCCUAGUGUAGCGGUGGAAUGCGUAGAUAUUAGGAAGAACACCAGAGGCGAAGGCGACAUACUGGACUGUAACUGACACUGAGACUCGAAAGCGUGGGGAUCAAACAGGAUUAGAUACCCUGGGUAGU
RNAcentral lists this ribosomal RNA (428 nucleotides) under uncultured bacterium. Its description in RNAcentral is "bacterial SSU rRNA". It matches the Rfam family "Bacterial small subunit ribosomal RNA", at positions 354 to 794 of the family's 1533-position model. The record is from RNAcentral.